Molecule: transfer RNA, 73 nt
Filed under: Acidobacteriota bacterium
Lineage: Bacteria; Pseudomonadati; Acidobacteriota
Description: Acidobacteria bacterium tRNA-Arg
Rfam family: tRNA
About the family: Transfer RNA (tRNA) molecules are approximately 80 nucleotides in length. Their secondary structure includes four short double-helical elements and three loops (D, anti-codon, and T loops). Further hydrogen bonds mediate the characteristic L-shaped molecular structure. tRNAs have two regions of fundamental functional importance: the anti-codon, which is responsible for specific mRNA codon recognition, and the 3' end, to which the tRNAs corresponding amino acid is attached (by aminoacyl-tRNA synthetases). tRNAs cope with the degeneracy of the genetic code in two manners: having more than one tRNA (with a specific anti-codon) for a particular amino acid; and 'wobble' base-pairing, i.e. permitting non-standard base-pairing at the 3rd anti-codon position.
Source: RNAcentral
GCUCUCGUAGCUCAAUGGACAGAGCAACCGCCUUCUAAGCGGUCGGUUGGGGGUUCGAGUCCCUCCGAGAGCA